This 426-nucleotide unclassified non-coding RNA is filed under the name Hevea brasiliensis (rubber tree). Lineage: Eukaryota; Viridiplantae; Streptophyta; Magnoliopsida; Malpighiales; Euphorbiaceae. The record is from RNAcentral.
UUUAAUUUGAGGAAGAUACGUUAGCCUUCUCGUGGCUUUCGCUGAUUAAUAAGUUCAUGAAGGAGUAAGAAUAUUUUAAUCCCUGAAAUUGUAGCCAAUAUUUGAUUGAAUCAUGAAACUAAUAUAUGCUAUCAAGUUUUGAAUUUGCCAUUAUUAUGCAGCUAAGUCCUUCCAUCAGUAAAUUGACCAAAUUACUCCUAUCUCUGCAUGAGACAUGUCCAAAGAAUUCAAUUAUUAACUUUCUUAUCUUCAACAUUAGGAUAAUUGUCAAUUGAUGUAUUAUUUCUGACAUAAUUUUAUCUCACACAAAAAUAAAAUAGGAUUUGAUUGGCCUUUUAUUUUAUUAUUUUUAAGUUCAAAUAUUUGCUCUAAGGUUGUGGAUGAUAAGUGCCUUAUAGUUAAAUUUUAAACUAUAAUAUAUUGCCG